RNA transcript from Triticum urartu, 3445 nucleotides. It is a transcript of the gene named disease resistance protein RPS2, with no coding region annotated. The record is from RefSeq and is a predicted model, not a curated record. Lineage: Eukaryota; Viridiplantae; Streptophyta; Magnoliopsida; Poales; Poaceae.
UUGUUCUUUAUAAGCUUUACCUUUUCCCCCCUAUUGGCAUCUUCCAUGCCUACCCAGCCUGGCUGCCACUUGAAAAUCGUUGAUCCCAAUGGCUGACGCGAUCAGCGCCGCCGGUUCUUGCCUGCAGCCCCUCUGCGAAUGCUUGGAUGGCACAGGCAUGCUGGACGCGGCGGCCCGGGAGGUCGCCUCGUUCCUUCACCUCAAAUCCAACUGGGCCGAUCUCGACAAGGCCAAGAAGCUACUGCUUGCUGUCGAGACGACGGUGAGGGCGCGAGUCACCGCAGAGGUGGACAAGCUGAACAUCUGUGACCCUCAGGUGCAGGUCUGGCUGAGGCGUAUCGAAGAGCUACAACUGGAUGCCAUCGACGAGGACUACAGCCAGUUGAGGAAGUAUUCUUGCCUCGGCCAGUGCACCAUCCAUGCUCACCGGCGUGCCUCGAUCGGCAGGCAUGUUCUUGAGGCUCUAGAUGAGGCAAAUAAACUUAUUGAAGAAGGGAGGCGGUUCAAGAAAUUUGGAUUCAAGCCCCUUCCCAAGAUUGUUGAUCCAUUGCCUCAAAUCGAGACGUUUGGUUUGGAGACCAUGCUGAGUCAGCUCCAUGAUCUGUUUGAGAAGGGCGACUCGAAUAUAAUUGGUGUGUGGGGUCAAGGAGGUGUUGGCAAGACGACGCUUCUACAUGUUUUCAACAAUGAUCUUGAAAAGAAGGCCCAUGACUAUCAGGUUGUUAUCUUUAUUGAAGUAUCCAAUUCAGAGACGCUGAACAUAGUGGAGAUACAACAGACUAUCUCCGAAAGGCUCAACUUGCCAUGGAAUGAUGCAGAGCCAAUUGCCAAACGGGCCAGAUUCUUGAUAAAGGCACUUGCUAGGAAAAGAUUUGUAAUCCUGCUUGAUGAUGUAAGGAAGAAAUUCCGACUGGAGGAUGUUGGUAUCCCAACUCCAGAUACCAAAAGUCAGAGCAAGCUGAUCCUCACAUCACGUUACCAAGAAGUAUGCUUCCAGAUGAAUGCACAAAGAAGCUUGAUUAAGAUGCAGAUUUUGGGUAACGAUGCUUCAUGGGAACUGUUCUUGAGCAAGCUUAGCAAGGAGGCUAGUGCAGCAGUUGAAUCGCUUGGUUCCCAGAAUACUUCUAGAGAGCAUGCUAUGGCAAUAGCCCGAAGUUGUGGAGGACUGCCACUUGCACUCAAUGUCAUUGGGACCGCUGUGGCAGGCUUGGAAGAGGGUGAGUGGAAAUCAGCUGUGGAUGCAAUUGAUACUAAUAUGGAGAAUAUUGAUGGUGUGGAUGAAAUGUUUGGUCGGUUGAAAUACAGCUACGACAGGCUCACAACCACUCAACAACAGUGUUUCUUAUACUGCACUCUUUUCCCAGAAUAUGGAUCUAUCAGUAAAGAGCAACUUGUUGAUUAUUGGUUAGCUGAAGGUUUGCUAUUACAUGAUCGUGAGAAUGGUUAUCUGAUAUUCCGCAGUCUCGUUUCAGCCUGCUUGUUGCAGGCCAGUGGCUCAAUGUCUUCAAAGGUAAAAAUGCACCAUGUAAUCAGGCAACUGGGUCUUUGGUUGGUCAACAAGUCAGAUACAAAGUUUCUUGUUCAACCAGGGAUGGCCUUGGAUAAUGCUCCAUCAGCUGGAGAAUGGAAUGAAGCUACAAGGAUCUCCAUCAUGUCUAAUAACAUCACCGAGCUUUCUUUCUCACCAAAGUGCAAAAAUGUUACCACUCUGUUGAUGCAGAACAACCCAAAUUUGAACAAGAUGAGCUAUGGAUUUUUCAGAACUAUGUCAUCCUUGAAAGUUCUGGAUCUUUCUCAUACUGCAAUAACAUCACUUCCAGAAUGUGAUGCAUUGGUUGCAUUGGAGCAUCUGAAUUUGUCUCACACACACAUUAUGAGAUUACCUGAGCGCCUAUGGUUACUGAAAGAGUUGAGGCAUUUGGAUCUGAGUGUGACUGUUGCACUUGAAGAUACCAUGAACAACUGCUCAAAGUUGCACAAGUUGAAAGUGCUCAAUCUCUUCCGCAGCCACUAUGGUAUCCGUGAUGUUGACAACCUGAAUUUGGAUUCUCUGAAGGAACUACUGUUCCUUGGAAUCACUAUUUAUGCAGAGGAUGUGCUAAAGAAAUUGAACAUGCCUCGUCCUUUGGCGAAGUCAACACAUCGCUUAAACUUGAAGUAUUGUGCAGAUAUGCAAUCAAUCAAAAUCUCUGACCUCAGCCACAUGGAGCACCUUGAGGAGCUGUAUGUUGAAUCAUGCUAUGACCUGAACACAGUGGUUGCUGAUGCUGAGCUUACAACUUCACAGUUGCAGUUCCUGACCCUGUCAGUUCUUCCCUCGUUGGAAAGUGUCCUUGUUGCACCAAUGUCCCAUAAUUUUCAGUACAUUCGCAAAUUGAUCAUUUCACACUGCCCCAAGUUGUUGAACAUAACAUGGGUCCGAGGACUUCAGCUUCUUGAGAGGCUUGUCAUAUCUCAUUGUGAUGGGGUGCUCGAAAUUGUUGAAGAUGAGGAGCAGUGUGGAGAACAAAUGAAAAUGCAGGAUCAUGCUUCAGAUGAACAAGAAGAUCAUGCUAUGGUAGAAACUUCACGGAAUGACACAGGGCAGAGUGACUUCCCAAAGUUGAGAUUGAUCGUAUUGACGGGACUUAAGAAGCUGAGAAGUAUUUGUAAAGCAAGAGAAUUCCCAUGCCUUGAGACCCUUCGGGUGGAGGAUUGCCCAAAUCUGAGGAGCAUCCCGCUAAGCUGCACGCAUAACUAUGGGAAACUGAAGCAGAUAUGUGGUUCAGUUGAAUGGUGGGAGAAACUGCAGUGGGAAAAUAAGGAGGAGGUGGCAUGUCUGAACAGCAAGUACUUCAUUCCAAUCUGACAGAGCCCCAAUUUCAAUGGCUUUUGUAUGGCAUGCAGCAUUCAGAAUCUAAGAUGGCAUGUGAAGUGCAUCUGAAAGGGAAAGGCAUUUGGAUUGGCAAAUGAUCUAGUUCCAGUUGCAGAGGCAAUGUUCAUCCUUGUGCUGUGCUGGCAGCAAAGGAUUACAAGUCUGCCAAGUGCCACAUUUCGGAAGUUCUAUUCUAUGAGGUAGAACUCAAUCUCUCAUGGUAGCAACUUGAUGACCUGUACAAGCAUAGCAGCUAGUGUGUUUAAUGCAUGCUUCCCAUGUAAACUGCAUGGCAAAAUCAACCAAGUUGGAAAUACCACCAGUCCACCCUCCUUGCUGAAGAUCAAAUACUUGCUGACAGAUAUAAAUGCGUUUUCCUGGAAAUAUGUUGAAUGCUGAAAAUAUUCUGAGGCAUGACAAUUGUAUAAGCUUGAUUGACAAAGCAAUCGCUUCAUUCGUUAUUUUCCCCAUCUUCUAUUGUACAUAACAAAAGGUAUUACCUAUGUCUCUAUGCAUCUAUUUUCAUAAUGUAGUAUGACAAUGUGAUUAUAUUACUGAAAACAUAUUGCGACAAAACUGGAAUAGUUAGUU